RNAcentral lists this ribosomal RNA (479 nucleotides) under uncultured bacterium. RNAcentral describes it as "partial 16S ribosomal RNA". It matches the Rfam family "Bacterial small subunit ribosomal RNA", at positions 28 to 523 of the family's 1533-position model. The record is from RNAcentral.
GACGAACGCUGGCGGCGUGCUUAACACAUGCAAGUCGAGCGAUGAAGCACCUUCGGGUGUGAAUUAGCGGCGAACGGGUGAGGAACACGUGAGAAAUCUGCCUUCAACUCUGGGAUAACUCCGUGAAAACGGGGCUAAUACCGGAUAUGAAACCUGCGGGCAUCCGCGGGUUUGGAAAGUUUUUCGGUUGAAGAUGAUCUCGCGGCCUAUCAGCUUGUUGGUGAGGUAAUGGCUCACCAAGGCGACGACGGGUAGCCGGCCUGAGAGGGCGACCGGCCACACUGGGACUGAGACACGGCCCAGACUCCUACGGGAGGCAGCAGUGGGGAAUAUUGGGCAAUGGAGGGAACUCUGACCCAGCGACGCCGCGUGCGGGAUGAAGGCCUUCGGGUUGUAAAUCGCUUUCAGCAGGGAAGAAGCGAAAGUGACGGUACCUGCAGAAGAAGCACCGGCUAACUAUGUGCCAGCCGCCGCCGUAA